CCCCAGGGAGACGGUGUUUACAACUGCCACUUCCGGAGACUCGACUUCCCUGGCAGACCUCCGCAGACUUUCGCUGGCCGCGGCCCCGCCCGGGCCCGGGCGGCCCCUUUCCUCCCGCCUCCGGCAGCCGACAGCUCCAGGAUACGCACUCGGAGAACGCCGGGCUCCGAGUGGAAGAUCCGGGCCCGCGAAGCUGCGCGGCUUUGCUGGAAGGGAGGAAGAAUUUGACUUGAAAAAACCACAAGGGCCCCUAAAAAUAAUUGUGGAAGAAUUGGGGGAACCAUAUUGGAAUUUGAAUAAUCACAUGAAGGGGUUUUUUUUGGCUGUGAGGCUUGCAGGAUUUUCCCCGACCAGGGAUUGAACCCGUGCCCCCUGCCAUGGAAGCACAGAGUCCUAACCACUGGACGGCCAGGGAUUGCCCAAGAAGUGUUAUUCUAAAUGUAGCUAUGCUGGCUUUUGUUAGGUAACCCAAAACAGGAAGAAAAAUCCCUUGAAAGAUUUACGGCACUAUAUUGGUAGUGAGUUAGAAGAGCACAUAAGGAUAAAAAUUCAGUACAUCUCUUCCCCUUUUUUUGUUCUACUCUAACCAGGAGGCAAGAAGUAGGAGCGGGUAAAAGGGUACUGAAUUGAACUUGAGAGGCCUGACCAAUCUAAGCUGGACUGAAGAGACUAGACUGAAUAAGAAGCUGAGUUUGCCCCCUUCACAACUAAUUCUACGUCUUAAUUUUCCCUUUACCUAAAAUGUCAGUGAAGAAAACACAUGACAGCCUCUCAGCAUCGCUCCUGUGCAACAUUUUUGACCAUUUCCUCAGCCUUGCAGCUGUUUGGAAAACUGUACCUUAGGUAUGUAUAAAUACACACUUGAACUUUAUAAUGAGCAUGGUCAUACUUCCUUUCUCGAUCAUAUAUACUAAUGUGAAAUUAUAACUAUAGACUAAGUAGUUUAUGGUAUUUAAUUUUUAUACAAAGAGGAAAUGUAUAACUGCAUUUAGAAGAUGAAAUUUUAUAUAUCUGCAUAGUCCUCAAAAAAAGUAUUCUGGCAUUCAACAGUGAUGAUGUUGCAUAUGGUUAAAAUGCUCUAAAACCUCUACCAGUGUAUUGCUUACUCAUGCUGUUAAACUACAAAUGUUAUGAUGAGAAAAGUAAGCUCAACUAAAUUCAUGCAAAACUAAAUAAUUCUGAAUCCCAGACGUCCAUGUCUUUGAAACAUUGCACAAAGGAAAACAAUUUCUGAAUAGAGUUAGUAGAAAUAACAUUAUAGCCUAGCUUUCUAAGUUCUGCAUUUAUAUUUUCACAGCCAGUUUCUUCUAUCUUUAUGUAGUUUAAAAUUAUUAUCUUCCUUUACGAAUAUGUUUAUAUAGCUUUUCCCAACACUGUUUAUUUAACAUUGCUUAAAUCCUGUGCUCUAAAACAACUAAUUUUACUGUUCCUAGCUAUACAGAUGGUCCCCAACUUAUGAUGGUUCCACUUACAAUUUUUGACUUUAUGGUGGUGUGAAAGUGAUCCAAAUUCAAUAGAAAUGGUACUUCAGAUUUUGAAUUUUGAUUUUUUUUUCCUGGGCUAGUAAUAUGUGCUUUGGAUUUUCUCAUGAUGCUGGGCAGUGGUACCGAGCUUCUGAUCACCAGGGUAAACAACCAUUCUGUGACUAUAUAACCAGUCUAUUUUUCAUUUUCAUUACAGUAUUCAGUAGAUUACAUGAGACUUUCAACAUUUUAUUAUAAAAUAGGCUGUGUGUUAGAUGACUUUGCACAACUGUAGGCUGAUGUAAGUGUUCUGAGCAUGCUUGAGGUAGACUAGGCUAAGCUACAAUAUUCAGUAGGUUAUGUGUAUUAAAUGCAUCUCUGACAGGAUAUUUUCAACUUACAAUGGGUUUAUCGGGAUGUUGCCCCAUCGUAAGUCAGACAGAUCUGUAAUAUAAACACUGGGGCAAUGUUAUGAAGGUUUGGAAAUCUUAUACAAAGCUUCUUGAUUGGAAAAGGUAAAUAAAGAGCCCAUAGGGAAGCAGAACCCAAUUCUCUUCUCUGAACUCUGAGAGCUGUUUAUUUGUUGCUCUAUGGUGGUAUUUUUUACUUCCUCUCUUGUUUUAUAGAUAUUUUUGUACUUUGAGCUCCUAUGGAGGCUAGGAUGAUAUCUUAGACGUUCAAUAAAUAUCUGCAGUUGAAUAUAUAUUAGUUAGUUAAAAUAAAAAUGGGCGAACUACAUUCCCCAAAGAUAAAUUACUAGCUAGAAGUAAUGGUUCAUAAACAUGUUAAGGCAGGAGAGGAGCUGGAUAUACUAGAGAAAGUUCAAGAAUUAUACCCAGAAUGGAGAAAUAGAAGAGGAAU
Non-coding RNA from Delphinapterus leucas (beluga whale), 2324 nucleotides. NCBI's taxonomy places the organism in Eukaryota, Metazoa, Chordata, Mammalia, Artiodactyla, Monodontidae. The record is from RefSeq and is a predicted model, not a curated record.